RNAcentral lists this long non-coding RNA (264 nucleotides) under Nicotiana benthamiana. Its description in RNAcentral is "long non-coding RNA (NBEN_LNC028357)". The record is from RNAcentral. Lineage: Eukaryota; Viridiplantae; Streptophyta; Magnoliopsida; Solanales; Solanaceae.
UAUUUGGAUAUUUUUUGUAUAAUGAUCUGGCGAAUUAUCAAUAAUUCAUUCUUAGAUGUUCUAAAUAGAAAUUUGUUUCUAAAUGAUGAAGUGAUAAAAAAAUUUCACUAUUCUGAAAUGUUGAUUGUAAUAGUAAUUCAGGGGUAAAUCAACUGAGUAUUCAACUUUUUAAAGUCUUUCUAAUUUCUAUAAGAAAGGAACUGAUGUAUACAUAGGGAAGCCGUGUGCAAUGAAAAAAGGAAGCACGACUUGGGGAGGGGUCUU